CUGCAGUCGACGGACAUGUCUAGCUUGCUAGAUGAUGUCGAGUGGCGGACGGGUGAGUAAUGCUUGGGAACUUGCCUUUGCGAGGGGGAUAACAGUUGGAAACGACUGCUAAUACCGCAUAAUGUCUUCGGACCAAACGGGGCUUCGGCUCCGGCGCAAAGAGAGGCCCAAGUGAGAUUAGCUAGUUGGUGAGGUAAAGGCUCACCAAGGCAACGAUCUCUAGCUGUUCUGAGAGGAAGAUCAGCCACACUGGGACUGAGACACGGCCCAGACUCCUACGGGAGGCAGCAGUGGGGAAUAUUGCACAAUGGGGGAAACCCUGAUGCAGCCAUGCCGCGUGUGUGAAGAAGGCCUUCGGGUUGUAAAGCACUUUCAGUUGUGAGGAAAAGUUAGUAGUUAAUACCUGCUAGCCGUGACGUUAACAACAGAAGAAGCACCGGCUAACUCCGUGCCAGCAGCCGCGGUAAUACGGAGGGUGCGAGCGUUAAUCGGAAUUACUGGGCGUAAAGCGCACGCAGGCGGUUUGUUAAGCUAGAUGUGAAAGCCCCGGGCUCAACCUGGGACGGUCAUUUAGAACUGGCAGACUAGAGUCUUGGAGAGGGGAGUGGAAUUCCAGGUGUAGCGGUGAAAUGCGUAGAUAUCUGGAGGAACAUCAGUGGCGAAGGCGACUCCCUGGCCAAAGACUGACGCUCAUGUGCGAAAGUGUGGGUAGCGAACAGGAUUAGAUACCCUGGUAGUCCACACCGUAAACGCUGUCUACUAGCUGUUUGUGACUUUAAGUCGUGAGUAGCGAAGCUAACGCGAUAAGUAGACCGCCUGGGGAGUACGGCCGC
RNAcentral lists this ribosomal RNA (833 nucleotides) under Alteromonas sp. RNAcentral's name for it is "bacterial SSU rRNA". It matches the Rfam family "Bacterial small subunit ribosomal RNA", at positions 55 to 889 of the family's 1533-position model. Lineage: Bacteria; Pseudomonadati; Pseudomonadota; Gammaproteobacteria; Alteromonadales; Alteromonadaceae. The record is from RNAcentral.